This 232-nucleotide ribosomal RNA is filed under the name uncultured archaeon. RNAcentral describes it as "partial 16S ribosomal RNA". It matches the Rfam family "Archaeal small subunit ribosomal RNA", at positions 345 to 587 of the family's 1478-position model. The record is from RNAcentral.
AAACUUUACAAUGCGGGAAACCGUGAUAAGGGGACACCGAGUGCUAGCAUCAUAUGCUGGCUGUCCAGGUGUACACCUGUAGCAAGGGCCGGCAAGACCGGUACCAGCCGCCGCGGUAACACGGGCGGCCCGAGUGGUGAUCGUGAUUAUUGGGUCUAAAGGGUCCGUAGCCGGUUUGGUGAGUCCUCCGGGAAAUCUAAUAGCUCAACUAUUAGGCUUCGGGGGAUACCGU